GGGGGGGCAAGCGUUGUUCGGAAUUACUGGGCGUAAAGGGUUCGUAGGUGGCCAACUAAGUCAGACGUGAAAUCCCUCAGCUUAACUGGGGAACUGCGUCUGAUACUGGAUGGCUCGAGUGCAGGAGAGGAAUGCGGAAUUCCAGGUGUAGCGGUGAAAUGCGUAGAUAUCUGGAGGAACACCGGUGGCGAAGGCGGCAUUCUGGACUGCAACUGACACUGAUGAACGAAAGCCAGGGGAGCAAACGGGAUUAGAUACCCCGGUAGUCCUGGCCCUAAACGAUGAAUGCUUGGUGUAACGGGUAUCGAUCCCUGUUGUGCCGAAGCUAACGCAUUAAGCAUUCCGCCUGGGGAGUACGGUCGCAAGGCUG
This 370-nucleotide ribosomal RNA is filed under the name uncultured organism. RNAcentral's name for it is "bacterial SSU rRNA". It matches the Rfam family "Bacterial small subunit ribosomal RNA", at positions 528 to 896 of the family's 1533-position model. The record is from RNAcentral.